GGGGGGGGGGGGGGGGGGGGGGGGGGGAGGCGGGGCGGAGGGGAGGGCCCUGGUUGGGGGGGAGUCGGGUGGCGGCCGGGUGGGUAACACGUGGGGGAGCGGCCCUGCACUUCGGGAUAAGCUUGGGAAACUGGGUCUAAUCGCGGCUCGGGCCCCUCUUUAGUGUAGUUUUUUGAACUUUUAUUCGGGUUCGGAUGGGAUCUCCGCCUAUCAGCUUUGUUGUGUUGUAAUGGCCUACCAAGGCGGCGACGGGUAGCCGGCCUGAGAGGGUGUACGGACACAUUGGGACUGAGAGACGGCCCAGACUCCUACGGGAGGCAGCAGUGGGGAAUAUUGCACAAUGGGCGCAAGCCUGAUGCAGCGACGCCGCGUGGGGGAUGAAGGCCUUCGGGUUGUAAACUCCUUUCGCUAGGGACGAAGCUGUUUGUGACGGUACCUAGAUAAGAAGCACCGGCUAACUACGUG
This 465-nucleotide ribosomal RNA is filed under the name uncultured bacterium. RNAcentral's name for it is "partial 16S ribosomal RNA". It matches the Rfam family "Bacterial small subunit ribosomal RNA", at positions 39 to 507 of the family's 1533-position model. The record is from RNAcentral.